RNAcentral lists this ribosomal RNA (396 nucleotides) under uncultured bacterium. RNAcentral describes it as "bacterial SSU rRNA". It matches the Rfam family "Bacterial small subunit ribosomal RNA", at positions 30 to 429 of the family's 1533-position model. The record is from RNAcentral.
AUUGAACGCUGGCGGCAUGCCUUACACAUGCAAGUCGAACGGCAGCACGGGAGCAAUCCUGGUGGCGAGUGGCGAACGGGUGAGUAAUAUAUCGGAACGUGCCCGGUCGUGGGGGAUAACGUAGCGAAAGCUACGCUAAUACCGCAUACGAUCUACGGAUGAAAGCGGGGGAUCGCAAGACCUCGCGCGAUUGGAGCGGCCGAUAUCAGAUUAGGUAGUUGGUGAGGUAAAGGCUCACCAAGCCGACGAUCUGUAGCUGGUCUGAGAGGACGACCAGCCACACUGGGACUGAGACACGGCCCAGACUCCUACGGGAGCAGCAGUGGGAAUUUUGGACAAUGGGCGCAAGCCUGAUCCAGCAAUGCCGCGUGCAGGAUGAAGGCCUUCGGUUGUAAC